Papaver somniferum (opium poppy) is the source of this 1578-nucleotide long non-coding RNA. RefSeq lists it as uncharacterized. The record is from RefSeq and is a predicted model, not a curated record. NCBI's taxonomy places the organism in Eukaryota, Viridiplantae, Streptophyta, Magnoliopsida, Ranunculales, Papaveraceae. The transcript has 3 exons.
UUUAGGGUAAAAAAUUUCACUAUAACCUCCACUAAUCCAACCAGCGAUACUACACCACCGUAAAUACCAUCACCAGAUCCAGCACCCACCGAUGCCACCUCCGUCGCCGCCAUCGUCAUCUCUAUCUUCUAUCAUCAGAAAAAAAACACACGAUCAAAACGAACUCCACCAACACGAUCUCCAUCGCCACCAUCACCAUCUCCACCACCACGAAAAGUCAAUUUUACCAAAUCCCACCACCACCACUACCAGAACAACAAUAUCUUCUUAUUACCAUCGUCAUCAUCACCGCACUCAACUCCAAUAUGUUGAGAGAUAUCAUUUUCGGAUUCGAUUUCUCAAUAUUCCGGUGUUUGUUGUCGCAGUGGUGGUGGUAGUGGAUGUUGGAGUGGAGGUUGAGGUAGCCGCUGCAGUGGUGGAUGUUGCAUCAGUUGUGUUGGUGGUUGUUAGUGUGGUGGUGGUGGUGGUUGUUGUUGGUGUGGUAGUGGUGGAUGAUGUUGUAGUAUGGUAGUGGUUACAUCAUUGGUGUUGGUAGUGGUUGUGGAGGUGGUGAUGGUGGUUUUUGUUGUCUGAAUUUCGAAGUCAGUCAGUGAUGGAUAGGACUUGGGUAAUAGAAAUUGCAGCCAAUGAGUGCCUAAAUCUAGAAGUUCAGCGAACCAAACUUGGUUGUGGCGGCUGUGUAAAUAUGAGAGGUGGAAUCAAGUCCCAUAAUCUGUUGGAAGGGUCUAUGUUGGCUGGAGUAACUCGUGGCGAUGGCGAGAUCUUUGCAUUUCAAUUCUGAAAGAAUGAUUCUGAAUUAGUAAUUAAUUUGGUGUGUACAAAAUGGAGAGAGUUUGCUGUGGCUGGUGCUCAGAAGUUCAAGGUGUUGUGGUCGGAGUUUGCUAAUGUGGUUGAGCUGAUUUUAUUCGUGGAGGAAGGUAAGCAGAAAAGAUGGAGAAGGUUGUAUGUUAUUUGAAUCAAUGGUGGAGAUGGACUGGCUCAAGUCUAGUUAGCUUUUGGUUCCUACAAAGUGGCUAGAGCUCGCAGGAUUUCUGUAAUACCAAACUGCUGAGGUCAGUAUUAUGAGAAGCUGGUGGCUCGUUGUUGUACGAUAUUGAUUGAAUGUGGGAUAUUGGCUUGACUGGAUGUAGAUGGACAGUGGACGAAGGUGUUGUGCAGAGAAUGUAAAGCGGCUAGUGGUGUUGAACCGAUGAAGUAAUUGACAAAUGAAGUUGCGAGAAGUUAAGAUGUAUGUGUUGGCUUAAUUGUAUUCGACGAAACUGUGUUCGAGCGAGACGAGGCAUUUGGGUCUGAACUGAUUGCUAGAUACAUGUUGAUGGUGCAAUUUUGGUACUGUAGGCAUUUUUGGAGCUGCAUCCAGGGGCAAUCAAUAGCAUCCGAGCAAGUCUCACUUAGACAUUGGUAUUCUUUUAACUCUAGUUGAUAAGUUUUACAAUUUUAUGUCUAUCGGAUGUGAUUUUGAUAUGUUGUUUUGUAUUGACGAAUCUAUGGUGCAAUGGUAGCACAACUGACUAUAUGUCAGAAAAUGUGUGUUCGAUUCACGCUAGGUUCACUUAUUUGUGUAUAAUUUUCUUUGGA